Molecule: ribosomal RNA, 301 nt
Filed under: uncultured bacterium
Lineage: Bacteria
Description: partial 16S ribosomal RNA
Rfam family: Bacterial small subunit ribosomal RNA
Source: RNAcentral
CAGUCGCCACGGUAAUACGAAGGGUGCAAGCGUUACUCGGAAUUACUGGGCGUAAAGCGUGCGUAGGUGGUGGUUUAAGUCCGUUGUGAAAGCCCUGGGCUCAACCUGGGAAUUGCAGUGGAUACUGGGUCACUAGAGUGUGGUAGAGGAUAGUGGAAUUUCCGGUGUAGCAGUGAAAUGCGUAGAGAUCGGAAGGAACAUCUGUGGCGAAGGCGACUAUCUGGGCCAACACUGACACUGAGGCACGAAAGCGUGGGGAGCAAACAGGAUUAGAUACCCGAGUAGUCCCUGUCUCUUAUAC